UACAGAGGGGGCAAGCGUUGUUCGGAAUCACUGGGUGUAAAGGGUGCGUAGGUGGGUCUGUAAGUCAGUGGUGAAAUCCCCGAGCUUAACUUGGGAACUGCCAUUGAUACUAUAGCUCUUGAAUACUGUGGAGGUCAGCGGAAUAUGUCAUGUAGCGGUGAAAUGCUUAGAUAUGACAUAGAACACCAAUUGCGAAGGCAGCUGGCUACACAAAUAUUGACACUGAGGCACGAAAGCGUGGGGAUCAAACAGG
RNAcentral lists this ribosomal RNA (253 nucleotides) under uncultured bacterium. RNAcentral's name for it is "partial 16S ribosomal RNA". It matches the Rfam family "Bacterial small subunit ribosomal RNA", at positions 524 to 776 of the family's 1533-position model. The record is from RNAcentral.